This 219-nucleotide ribosomal RNA is filed under the name uncultured bacterium. RNAcentral's name for it is "partial 16S ribosomal RNA". It matches the Rfam family "Bacterial small subunit ribosomal RNA", at positions 524 to 739 of the family's 1533-position model. The record is from RNAcentral.
UACGGAGGGAGCUAGCGUUGUUCGGAAUUACUGGGCGUAAAGCGCGCGUAGGCGGACCUGCAAGUCGGGGGUGAAAGCCCGAGGCUCAACCUCGGGAACUGCCUUCGAUACUGCGGGUCUCGAGUCCGGGAGAGGUGAGUGGAAUUCCGUAGUGUAGAGGUGAAAUUCGUAGAUAUUAGGAAGAACACCAGGUGCGAAGGCGGCUCACGUGGCCCGGUA